Long non-coding RNA from Oncorhynchus nerka (sockeye salmon), 893 nucleotides. RefSeq lists it as uncharacterized. The transcript has 3 exons. NCBI's taxonomy places the organism in Eukaryota, Metazoa, Chordata, Actinopteri, Salmoniformes, Salmonidae. The record is from RefSeq and is a predicted model, not a curated record.
UUGGUUGGGACAUUAUGACCACAAAGAUUGUAGAUGUAUUGUUGUACACUCAUGUAGCCUUUUUCUGAAUGGAUCUAAAGUAGGGACAGAACUGAAAAAAAAAGACUUUCCUCCGUGUGAAUAAGGAAUGUCAUCCUUUUGUGAAGAACCUUGGCAGACUCAAUCAAGAGUUUAAGGGAUUAUCCCCUCAGGUGUCAUGCGUACAGCACGAGGGCCACCCAUGCUGUACGCAAAAUGUAUACACACAUGACUGAUCAGUAUCCACUGUAUGGUUGUCACGACUUCCGCCGAAGUCGGCUCCUCUCCUUGUUCGGGCGGCAUUCGGCGGUCGACGUCACCGGCUUUCUAGCCAUCGCCGCUCCAUUUUUCAUUGAUCCAUUUGUUUUGUCUUGUUUUGCACACCUGGUUUGCAUUUCCCAACCACACUGCAUGUAUUUAUUCCUCUGUUCCCCCUCAUGUCGUUGUGUGACAUUGUUUGUGUUUACGUGUCAUGUUUGACGCGCCAGACUGGUGUUCGUAUAUUCCGUGUUUUGUCACGAGGUAUGUUUAUUUGUGUCACGUUCUGACCUUUAUUUCCUUUGUUUUGUCAUUAUUUAGUAUGGUCAGGGCGUGAGUUGGGGUGGGCAGUCUAUGUUUGUUUUUCUAUGAUUUUGGGAUUUCUAUGUUUUGGCCUAGUAUGGUUCUCAAUCAGAGGCAGGUGUCAUUAGUUGUCUCUGAUUGAGAAUCAUACUUAGGUAGCCUGGGUUUCACUGUUUGUUUGUGGGUGUUUGUUUCCGUGUCUGUUUUUUUCACCACAUGGUACUGUUCUGGUUUUCGUUCGUUUCACGUUUAUUGUUUUUGUAUCAGUUGUGUUCAUGUUGAGUAUUUCUUAUUAAAAGAACCAUGAACACUUA